UACGUAUGGUGCAAGCGUUAUCCGGAUUUACUGGGUGUAAAGGGAGCGCAGGCGGAAGGCUAAGUCUGAUGUGAAAACCCGGGGCUCAACCCCGGUACUGCAUUGGAAACUGGUCAUCUAGAGUGUCGGAGGGGUAAGUGGAAUUCCUAGUGUAGCGGUGAAAUGCGUAGAUAUUAGGAGGAACACCAGUGGCGAAGGCGGCUUACUGGACGAUAACUGACGCUGAGGCUCGAAAGCGUGGGGAGCAAACAGG
This 253-nucleotide ribosomal RNA is filed under the name Roseburia inulinivorans DSM 16841. Its description in RNAcentral is "partial 16S ribosomal RNA". It matches the Rfam family "Bacterial small subunit ribosomal RNA", at positions 524 to 776 of the family's 1533-position model. The record is from RNAcentral. Lineage: Bacteria; Bacillati; Bacillota; Clostridia; Lachnospirales; Lachnospiraceae.